Long non-coding RNA from Pteropus alecto (black flying fox), 858 nucleotides. RefSeq lists it as uncharacterized. The record is from RefSeq and is a predicted model, not a curated record. The transcript is spliced from 3 exons. NCBI's taxonomy places the organism in Eukaryota, Metazoa, Chordata, Mammalia, Chiroptera, Pteropodidae.
CUCUCUGGCCUCCAGGCAGGACAAACUCUGCAGUGUAAAAAAUGCCCCGGAGCUCCGUGUGGGAUCUGGCUGUGGUGUUUCUCCCAGAGAUCUCUUGCACAUGUAAUCCCAUCUUAAUGUCUGCUUCUUGGAGAAGGUGCACUGAUACAUCUGUAUUUUUGGAACAUUUGGUGGUUGAAGCAGGCAUUGUCCAAGAUGUGAAAAUCCUACUGAUUUACUCACUUUCAUUGGAGAAAUGCAUAGUCAUCACCAGCAGAUAAGAUGCUAGAAGUGGAGCAGCUAUCUUGUGACCAUGAGAGGAUGAACCAAGGCUGACAACUGCACGCAGGGGGUGAGGAAUGAAGAUGGAGUGGAGGUCUCUGCUGACAUAGAAGAGCCACCACACAAGUCCUGGGCUGCUCACCUCUGGACUUCUUGCUAUAUGAGAGGAAUAAGGACCCUAUUUGGUUAAGCCACUGUAAAAUACAUUUUCUAUUAUAUAGAGUCUAAGCAAUUCCUAACUUAUACAAAAUCUGAGAAAGCAAGAUAUUUUAAGCUGGGGAACUACAAAUGGUUCAGAGGACUGGAGAAAAGGAAGUAUAGAGAUAAUGAGCCUGGAGAUGUUUGUGGGGACCAAGUCACAAAGGGCCUUCUAAGUCUUGCUUAGGAAUUGAACUUUAUCAUUAAGCCUUUCGUUCCUCAAACCUGAAUAAUGUAUAAAUGGACAAUUUUUAAAGGAAAAAACUUCUUCCCGAUUCUCUCACACCAUAGAAUUCACUGAAAGUACUUUAUUGUAAUAUAGAAAUGCGUCACUAGGUAUAAACUCUUACAGAACUGUAAAACCAAAUUUACAAAUAAAAAUUAGAAUUCUCAACAAUU